RNAcentral lists this ribosomal RNA (553 nucleotides) under uncultured bacterium. RNAcentral's name for it is "partial 16S ribosomal RNA". It matches the Rfam family "Bacterial small subunit ribosomal RNA", at positions 355 to 896 of the family's 1533-position model. The record is from RNAcentral.
UGGGGAAUUUUGGACAAUGGGCGCAAGCCUGAUCCAGCCAUGCCGCGUGCGGGAAGAAGGCCUUCGGGUUGUAAACCGCUUUUGUCAGGGAAGAAAUCUUCUGAGUUAAUACCUCGGGAGGAUGACGGUACCUGAAGAAUAAGCACCGGCUAACUACGUGCCAGCAGCCGCGGUAAUACGUAGGGUGCAAGCGUUAAUCGGAAUUACUGGGCGUAAAGCGUGCGCAGGCGGUUUUGUAAGACAGAGGUGAAAUCCCCGGGCUCAACCUGGGAACUGCCUUUGUGACUGCAAGGCUUGAGUGCGGCAGAGGGGGAUGGAAUUCCGCGUGUAGCAGUGAAAUGCGUAGAUAUGCGGAGGAAACACCGAUGGCGAAGGCAAUUCCCCCUGGGCCUGCACUGACGCUCAUGCACGAAAGCGUGGGGAGCAAACAGGAUUAGAUAGCCCUGGUAGUCCACGCCCUAAACGAUGUCAACUGGUUGUUGGGAAAGGUUCCUUCUCAGUAACGUAGCUAACGCGUGAAGUUGACCGCCUGGGGAGUACGGCCGCAAGGUUG